CGGACGGGUGAGUAACGCGUGGGUAACCUGCCCUGUACAGGGGGAUAACAGUUGGAAACGGCUGCUAAAACCGCAUAACAUGGAGAUACCGCAUGAUAUUUCCAUCAAAUAUUUAUAGGUACAGGAUGGGCCCGCGUCUGAUUAGCCAGUUGGCAGGGUAAUGGCCUACCAAAGCGACGAUCAGUAGCCGACUUGAGAGAGUGACCGGCCACAUUGGGACUGAGACACGGCCCAAACUCCUACGGGAGGCAGCAG
RNAcentral lists this ribosomal RNA (255 nucleotides) under uncultured bacterium. Its description in RNAcentral is "partial 16S ribosomal RNA". It matches the Rfam family "Bacterial small subunit ribosomal RNA", at positions 99 to 354 of the family's 1533-position model. The record is from RNAcentral.